RNAcentral lists this ribosomal RNA (235 nucleotides) under uncultured bacterium. Its description in RNAcentral is "partial 16S ribosomal RNA". The record is from RNAcentral.
CUGCUGCCUUCCGUAGGAGUCUGGGCCGUGUCUCAGUCCCAAUGUGGCCGGCCAACCUCUCAGUCCGGCUACUGAUCGUCGCCUUGGUGGGCCGUUACCCCGCCAACCAGCUAAUCAGACGCGAGUCCAUCUCAGAGCGAUAAAUCUUUGAUAUCCAGAGCCAUGCGACCCAGAUAUAUUAUGCGGUAUUAGCAGCUGUUUCCAGCUGUUAUUCCCCACUCCAAGGCAGGUUACU